Molecule: ribosomal RNA, 460 nt
Filed under: uncultured bacterium
Lineage: Bacteria
Description: partial 16S ribosomal RNA
Rfam family: Bacterial small subunit ribosomal RNA
Source: RNAcentral
CCUACGGGAGGCAGCAGUGAGGAAUAUUGGUCAAUGGCCGUAAGGCUGAACCAGCCAAGUCGCGUGAAGGAAGAAGGAUCUAUGGUUUGUAAACUUCUUUUAUAGGGGAAUAAAGGUAUCCACGUGUGGCUAUUUGCAUGUACCCUAUGAAUAAGCAUCGGCUAACUCCGUGCCAGCAGCCGCGGUAAUACGGAGGAUGCGAGCGUUAUCCGGAUUUAUUGGGUUUAAAGGGUGCGUAGGUUGGUGUUUAAGUCAGCGGUGAAAGUUUGUGGCUCAACCAUAAAAUUGCCGUUGAAACUGGAAGACUUGAGUGUGUUUGAGGUAGGCGGAAUGCGUGGUGUAGCGGUGAAAUGCAUAGAUAUCACGCAGAACUCCGAUUGCGAAGGCAGCUUACUAAGCCAUAACUGACACUGAAGCACGAAAGCGUGGGGAUCAAACAGGAUUAGAUACCCCUGUAGUC